UAGUCUCCCUUCAGGAGGCUAAGGUGGAAGAAUUGCUUGAGCCCAGGAGUUUGAGACUGCAGUGAGCUCUGAUUGUGCCAUUGCAUGGGCCAACUGGGCAGGUCCACUUAGACACAAUUUUUAAAAAAUAAAUAUAUUGGAAAAAUUUUAGAGAUUUGCAAUAAUUUGAAAAACAAAUGAGCUGCAUAGCCUAGAAAUGUUGAAAACAUUGCUCAUCCGGGCCCCACGGCCAGCAGAGUUGGCCCCACUCGGUGGCCACCGGGGCCUGUGCACCGGAAUCGCCGUGGCCUGUGCACCCCACCUCACCAGUUUGAACCUCCGUGGCCUCAACCAGAUUUGGAAUGUCAAAAGCAGAGUGUUUAUUUGAGGAGUUUGAGGAAAUCGGGAACUUUGGGCCACUCAGGCUCUCUAGAUGAGACCAGCCAUGAAAGACUAGCAGAGGAAAUGCUAGACUCCUUAACAGAGUUUUCUGAAGACCUUGCGGACAAGCCAUACAUGUUUUUUAAGGACUAUGAUGUUUUCUUUGGGAGUGGCAUCUUAACUGCUAAACUGGGUAGAGAUCCAGGAACCUACGUGAUCAAUAAGCAGACACUAAACAAGCAAAUCUGGUUAUCUUUUCCAUCCUGUGGACCCAAGUGUUAUGACUGGACUGGGAAAAACUGGGUGUACUCCCACUAUGGUGAUGGCACGUCCCUCCAUGAGCUGCUGGCUGUACAGCUCACUAAAGCCUUAAAAAUCAAACUGGACUUGUCUUCCUUGGCCUAUUCCAGGAAAGACUCAUGUUGCCCAGCCCAGUUUUAAGGACAUUAAAAGCUGUCAUACAAAGACCCCAGCUUCAUUAUGCAGCUGAGGUCUGUUUUUUUUUUUUUUUUUCCAUUCCUGCUUUUGAGGACAGUUCGGCUAUGUGUAAUAGCUCUGUGGAAAGAGUAUGUUGCCUCCUACCUUGCCGCCACGUUCUGAUUUUUAAUUUCUAUGGGAGAUUUUUUUGGAUUCACUGAUUUCCUCCCUCACAUGAUAUCCCUUAUAUUUUAUAAUAUCUUAUGCCUAUACCUAAAUAUAACAACCUUUAAAAAAGCAAAAUGAUAAGAAGAAAAAAUUCCAGGAGAAAUGAAUUGUUUUCACUCUUCAUUCUUUGAAGGAUUUACUACAAGAAGUACAUGAUGAGCAGCUCGUCAACCUGCUCACUGUUCUGU
This is an RNA transcript of Cebus imitator (Panamanian white-faced capuchin), 1193 nucleotides long. It is a transcript of the gene named frataxin, mitochondrial-like, with no coding region annotated. NCBI's taxonomy places the organism in Eukaryota, Metazoa, Chordata, Mammalia, Primates, Cebidae. The transcript has a single exon. The record is from RefSeq and is a predicted model, not a curated record.